UGGGGAAUAUUGGACAAUGGGCGAAAGCCUGAUCCAGCAAUGCCGCGUGAGUGAUGAAGGCCUUCGGGUUGUAAAGCUCUGUCAGCGGGAACGAAUAAGCCGAUUAAUACCCGGUGAUGACGGUACCCGCAAAGGAAGCACCGGCUAACUCUGUGCCAGCAGCCGCGGUAAUACAGAGGGUGCAAGCGUUGUUCGGAAUUACUGGGCGUAAAGCGCGUGUAGGCGGCACAGCAAGUUGGAUGUGAAAGCCCUCGGCUCAACCGAGGAACUGCAUUCAAAACUACUGAGCUAGAGUAUCGGAGGGGGUGGCGGAAUUCCCGGUGUAGAGGUGAAAUUCGUAGAUAUCGGGAGGAACACCUGUGGCGAAGGCGGCCACCUGGAAGAUUACUGACGCUGAGACGCGAAAGCGUGGGGAGCAAACAG
This 423-nucleotide ribosomal RNA is filed under the name uncultured bacterium. Its description in RNAcentral is "bacterial SSU rRNA". It matches the Rfam family "Bacterial small subunit ribosomal RNA", at positions 355 to 775 of the family's 1533-position model. The record is from RNAcentral.